RNAcentral lists this ribosomal RNA (415 nucleotides) under bacterium enrichment culture clone ALO1_GLFRUDD03F4KQG. Its description in RNAcentral is "bacterial SSU rRNA". It matches the Rfam family "Bacterial small subunit ribosomal RNA", at positions 9 to 425 of the family's 1533-position model. The record is from RNAcentral.
GAGUUUGAUCGUGGCUCAGAUUGAACGCUGGCGGCAUGCCUUACACAUGCAAGUCGAACGGCAGCACGGGAGCUUGCUCCUGGUGGCGAGUGGCGAACGGGUGAGUAAUGCAUCGGAACGUAUCCUGGAGUGGGGGAUAACGUAGCGAAAGUUACGCUAAUACCGCAUAUUCUGUGAGCAGGAAAGCGGGGGACCUUCGGGCCUCGCGCUCUUGGAGCGGCCGAUGUCGGAUUAGCUAGUUGGUGAGGUAAAGGCUCACCAAGGCGACGAUCCGUAGCAGGUCUGAGAGGAUGAUCUGCCACACUGGAACUGAGACACGGUCCAGACUCCUACGGGAGGCAGCAGUGGGGAAUUUUGGACAAUGGGGGGCAACCCUGAUCCAGCCAUGCCGCGUGAGUGAAGAAGGCCUCGGUUG